CAUUUCCAAUUAAUAAAUAUUAGUUACAUUAUAUAUAUACUGAUUACACACAUCUUACCAACUCAAGCUACGUUACAUAGCUAUUGUUUAAUUGGAUUCAUGUUGGAAUGUACCAGUUUCAUAUCACAAAGAAAAACGGCCUACAAUGAAUUCGAGUGAUAUUUACCUUCAUGCAGUUAACUCUUCCUCCAUUGCUUGCAAUGGAAGUAAUGUCAGUGUUGGUCUUGCGAGUGACUGGGAAUGCAGCGGAUGACUUCAAGCCUGUGAAUGGAGCAACCAUGGCCGCUUGAGCCGGUGAGCUAACCACGGUGGCAGAGGAGAGCAUAGAGGAAGCCAUUACGUACUAGUUCUUCUCUUCUUCUUCUUCUU
RNAcentral lists this long non-coding RNA (369 nucleotides) under Brassica rapa (field mustard). RNAcentral's name for it is "long non-coding RNA (BRAP_LNC005318)". The record is from RNAcentral. Lineage: Eukaryota; Viridiplantae; Streptophyta; Magnoliopsida; Brassicales; Brassicaceae.